UUCCUCAAUACUGAGGGUGGUGACCACUUC
Molecule: small RNA, 30 nt
Filed under: Bombyx mori (domestic silkworm)
Lineage: Eukaryota; Metazoa; Arthropoda; Insecta; Lepidoptera; Bombycidae
Description: ovarian small RNA-37287
Source: RNAcentral